RNAcentral lists this long non-coding RNA (1959 nucleotides) under Elaeis guineensis (African oil palm). RNAcentral describes it as "long non-coding RNA (EGUI_LNC072207)". The record is from RNAcentral. Lineage: Eukaryota; Viridiplantae; Streptophyta; Magnoliopsida; Arecales; Arecaceae.
AUAGCCAUAUGUUGCAAUCGAAUCAGUUUCAUGCAGAAGAAAAUGGGUUUGGAAGAUUCAGAACACAUCAUAAAGCCCUCAACCAUUUAACUUGAUUAAAAUUAGGGUGGUAAAACACCUGAACUCUCUCCUAUUUGACUUAUUUAUGAAAAGCCUUGCUCCAAUUGUGAUCCUAUAUGAUAUCGCAUAUAACAGUUUAAGCUUCCAGCAUCACAAUAUUAUGCAACUAGAAGUUAUUCAAUUUUAUGAUUCCACUAUAAGAAUUUCUUCAUUAGCUCUGAGACAUACAUACCACUACUAGCAUCACAAGAUUUAUGAUAUUGAUACAACCAGAUAUUAUUCAAUUUUAUGAUGCCAUUUUGAAUUACUAAUUGAAAUAUUAGAUAUCGCUCAUGCUUCUUUUUUAAUCAUAAAUGCUGAGUGUUGUGUGAUUAUAAUACUGAGAUUUUUAUUUUAAAAUCUUGUUGAGGCCUCUAAACUAUCUGUUACAACUGCGAUUAAUUAUUGUGGAAACGAAUACUUAAAACGGUACGAAUGCACCGGGUUAAAUGAGCAAGGAGUCAUGGUACCAAACAGGGAGAAGGGUAAUGGUAAAUGCUUAGUAAUUGUUGGGGCGGGGAAUCUCUAUUACUAGUUAUUAGAGGUUCAAAAUUUUCUUUCAGGUUCCUCUCAAGUUCUCAGAAUGCUUCCCUAGGCAUUUCCAUCUGUUUGGUGAUGAAAAAUCAAAUCAAAUUCAUCUUACGAGUUGGAUUCCGGUGAACUAUUACAUGGUACAAGUUUUACAAUCUCGGUACCGGAUCUUAUACUGACACCAUUCUAUUAUAAUACCGAUAUAUAAAUAAUCAUUAUAUUCAUUAUCAUAAUAAAUGAUGAAGUCUAUUUAAAGUGAUCAAAAUUUUUAUAGAUAUUUUAUAUUCAUUAUCAUAAUAAAUAAGAUCCGGUAUAUAAUCAUUAUCAUAAUAAUAGACUUCAUCAUUUAUUUCUAUAAGAUCCGGUAUAUAAUCUUAUUUAUUAUGAUAUUUUAUAGAUAUUUCUCAAUAUCUGAUGAAGUCUAUUUAAAGUGAUCAAAAUUUUUCAUAAUUCAUGUUUCUUGUUCUAGUUCGAUAGGAAGACACAUAAUCACAUGGUAUCGAAAUCAAUCAAUAUAAUGCAUAAUGAAAUUAAUAUGUUCAAUCAUGCUUCAUCAUAAUAUUUCAAAAUAAGAUAUUUUUCAUAACAAAAUAUCAUUCAUCCAAUUCAUACAUCAUUUCAUAAAUCAUGUCAGAAAAAUAUAUUAUAAUUUAUCGAUAAAUCUAGAAAAAGUAAAGUAUUACUUACCUCAUACGUAUUUCAAUAAAUCUACAUAAUUCUAAAAAUUUUCUUCUAAAAUUCUUUGUUCAUAGAUCAUAUCACGAUAUCCCAUGAUCAAACAUCCACAACCCUAUAUAGGAUCAAUUUCAAUAAUUAGAAAGGACAUAAAUAAUUAAGAAAGAUAAAAUUGAUGGAUACCGGCAUCCUAUGGUCGAGAUUGAUCCAGUCAUCUAAUUUCAUCUGGUCAAAAUCCAAUUAGGACAUAGGUGAUUUAAAGUUUGACUAUCGUACCAAAUCCGAUUUUUAAAGUGAUAGGGUCGAGAUUUUUUCAUUGAGUUCAUAAAUCAAGUAGAGAGAGAAAGUCAGAGGAGAGAGAAUUCAUGAGGUACAAUCUAAAUUGAUCAGUUGACAUGGUCUAACAUCUCGAUUGGUCCAAUUAAAAUAAUCUAAUCAAGUCAUGGUUAAACCAGUAUACAGAUAAUUCAGAAUAAAAUUAUGGAUGAUCAAAUCUAAUGGUUCAUGAUCUGAUCAAGAUGCUGGUAUACUGCUCGACGACCACGGAUCAGGAUGCUUUCACUAGAAUCAUUCAAACUCAUCAUUACUCUUCUCAUAAUUCUAGAAAAUCCUAGGAGAGAUAAUCUAGAGAGAGUGGAGAGAGAAAUUAGAGAG